Molecule: long non-coding RNA, 947 nt
Organism: Oreochromis niloticus (Nile tilapia)
Lineage: Eukaryota; Metazoa; Chordata; Actinopteri; Cichliformes; Cichlidae
Exons: 3
Source: RefSeq, a predicted model, not a curated record
GCUAGGCAUGCUAGACUGGCUAAAAGCGUUGUUUCAAAUACUCACUGAGUCUGAAGUAAUUCAGGACUUCAUGUGACGUCUUCUGUCGUAUAUGUGUGGCUCCUGAGUUAUCUAUCCAUUUCCUCUUCUGAAAGACACCUUCAGAGCCUGUGGACUCCUCGCCCUGAUGGUUUUAGCAGCAGGCGUGGGACCAACCCACUACCAGAAACAAGAAAUUCAGAUCAUGUGAUGACCACUGAAGCGUCUCCAUGACGACCGGGGGAAGCCAUGCUUCCUCUCAGACUGAAUUAUUCAGAGUUGCAUUGCUGACAUCUUGUGUUGUACGAGUGUACGUGAAUCCAGACACACAUUUAUAAUCUGAACCACUCUCGGCUUUUAAAAAUGAGGCGGGCGCCUGUGGGAGCAUUUAAGGUGGUAUUUCUGUUUAUUCUGAACCCUUAAAACUGAUUUCAGUGAAAGUGAUCAGCGACCAAAUGAAUACUGAGCUCAGACCAAUAAGGAGAGACCAUGUGGAACAAUGACCGCUCUGCUGUGAUGACCUGUGAUCAGAAUCUCAGCAGUGAUGGGAGUUAGGACCGGACCCCCAGAGUCUAGAUGGUGGUGUUGAAGAUGAAGACGGAGGCUUGGAUGGAGCUCUGAGCUGAAGAUGAGUAAAGAGAGAGAAUUAAAAAAGACUGCUGAGAUUUAAAGUUGAUCAGAGGCUGAUUGGUUUGCAGAAGGCGGGCAUUAAAAUGAUUGGACAAGAGCAAUGAUGUCAGGAUUGAGCUUGGAGGUAAAGAAGAGACUAGCAGCGGCUGAUUACAGCUUCAUCCUGCAGUUCUAGUUCACAUGAAUAAGAUGCACAUGUAAUAUAAUAAUACUAACGACUUAUUUAAUCGUGUAUUUAUUUGCCUUUUAAAGUGUGUCAUUAUCCUGAGUGUGAAAUAAAAAGUCAGGUGAAGUACCAC